CCCUUAGAUGUCCUGGGCCGCACGCGCGCUACAAUGACUCACUCAGAAAGUUUUUCCUGAUCCGGAAGGAUUCGGGUAAUCUUCAUAGCAUGAGUCGUGUUAGGGAUCGAUCUUUGCAAUUAUAGAUCUUGAACGAGGAAUGCCUAGUAAGUGCAGCUCAUCAGGCUGUACUGAUUACGUCCCUGCCCUUUGUACACACCGCCCGUCGCUACUACCGAUUGGAUGGUUUAGUGAGACCCUCGGAUCGGUCCCGACUCGGGGUGGGCUUCUGCCCCGGUCGUGGUUUCGCCGAGAAGACGGUCAAACUUGACUAUCUAGAGGAAGUAAAAGUCGUAACA
RNAcentral lists this ribosomal RNA (338 nucleotides) under uncultured eukaryote. Its description in RNAcentral is "partial 18S ribosomal RNA". It matches the Rfam family "Eukaryotic small subunit ribosomal RNA", at positions 1470 to 1796 of the family's 1831-position model. The record is from RNAcentral.